AUAGCCCUCGGAGAGGAAGUGGGUAAGGUCAGCCUCAACAGCCGGCUAGGCAGUUGUAACCGCCUCAACGGCCAAGGAGGUCGUACACCCUUAACCCGGUUUCCAUCAGAAGCGGAGAAAGAAGUCUUCUUCUUCUCUAUUGUGGCCCUUGGGCUGGCCACAUUGGGCCGGCCCAUUGGCCCAACUGUGUGCGGGCUGAUCACUGGACCCGCCCAUUGGCCCAUUUUCCAAAAUGGAACGGUAUAGAGCUCUAAAAUUUGAACAUUUAGAAUCAAUUUCUCCAAACUUUAAAGUCUUUAGGUUCCCUGCUCCUAGCAACCCUAUUAAUCUGAAAAAAAACAAUAGGAGUCCUAUUGGCCAUGCGGCUCAAUAAGUAACCAUACACCAUCUCACUGGAUCAAGCAUAAUAUUUCACAU
RNAcentral lists this long non-coding RNA (417 nucleotides) under Phoenix dactylifera (date palm). RNAcentral's name for it is "long non-coding RNA (PDAC_LNC000676)". The record is from RNAcentral. Lineage: Eukaryota; Viridiplantae; Streptophyta; Magnoliopsida; Arecales; Arecaceae.